This 109-nucleotide non-coding RNA is filed under the name Roseburia sp. CAG:303. RNAcentral's name for it is "SAM riboswitch aptamer (S box leader)". It matches the Rfam family "SAM riboswitch aptamer (S box leader)". Rfam says of the family: The SAM riboswitch is found upstream of a number of genes which code for proteins involved in methionine or cysteine biosynthesis in Gram-positive bacteria. The SAM riboswitch acts at the level of transcription termination control. The predicted structure consists of a complex stem-loop region followed by a single stem loop terminator region. RNAcentral also lists the same sequence under 1 other name. Lineage: Bacteria; Bacillati; Bacillota; Clostridia; Lachnospirales; Lachnospiraceae. The record is from Rfam by way of RNAcentral.
UUCUUAUUCAGAGCGGUGGAGAUACAAGGAUCUGUGAAGCCCGGCAACCCCGAUAGGAAGGUGCCAACCUGAGCGAGAUAUACUGCAGCAGCAGUUCGAACAAUAAGAG